UACGGAGGAUGCAAGCGUUAUCCGGAAUGAUUGGGCGUAAAGGGUCCGCAGGUGGCAAUGUGUGUCUGCUGUCAAAGAAUGAGGCUUAACCUCAUCAAGGCAGUGGAAACUACAUAGCUAGAGUACGGUCGGGGUAGAAGGAAUUCCUGGUGUAGCGGUGAAAUGCGUAGAGAUCAGGAAGAACACCGGUGGCGAAGGCGGUUAUCUGGACAGAAACUGACGCUGAGGCGCGAAAGCUAGGGGAGCAAACAGG
This 253-nucleotide ribosomal RNA is filed under the name uncultured bacterium. RNAcentral describes it as "partial 16S ribosomal RNA". It matches the Rfam family "Bacterial small subunit ribosomal RNA", at positions 524 to 776 of the family's 1533-position model. The record is from RNAcentral.